This 453-nucleotide ribosomal RNA is filed under the name uncultured bacterium. RNAcentral describes it as "bacterial SSU rRNA". It matches the Rfam family "Bacterial small subunit ribosomal RNA", at positions 28 to 523 of the family's 1533-position model. The record is from RNAcentral.
GGUGAAUGCUGGCGGCGUGGAUAAGUCAUGCAAGUCAAGGGGGCCCGCAAGGGCAACCGGCAAACGAGGUAGUAACACGUAGGUAGACCCCCCAGAGUCGGGCAUAGCCAGCCGAAAGGUUGGGGUAAUUCCCGACUAGUCCCGAAAGGGUAAAGGUUUUUCGUCUCUGGGAGGUUGCCUGCGUAGUAUCAGCUAGUUGGUAGGGUAAUGGCCUACCAAGGCUACGACGCUUAGGGGAGCUGAGAGGCUGACCCCCACCGAUGGAACUGCGACACGGUCCAUACUCCUACGGGAGGCUGCAGACGAGAAUAUUCCGCAAUGGGCGAAAGCCUGACGGAGCAAUGCCGCGUGUGGGAUGAAGCGACUCUGACGUGUAAACCACUGUCAGGGGUUGGAAACAAUGAUCGACCCCAAAGGAAGUGGCGACUAACUCUGUGCCAGCAGCCGCGGUAA